GGCCCGUUGGUCUAUCGGCAGAGGACGCCAGCCCCUCAAGCUGGCAGGAUGGGUUCGACUCCCAUACGGGCUA
RNAcentral lists this transfer RNA (73 nucleotides) under Planctomycetota bacterium. RNAcentral's name for it is "Planctomycetes bacterium tRNA-Glu". It matches the Rfam family "tRNA". Rfam says of the family: Transfer RNA (tRNA) molecules are approximately 80 nucleotides in length. Their secondary structure includes four short double-helical elements and three loops (D, anti-codon, and T loops). Further hydrogen bonds mediate the characteristic L-shaped molecular structure. tRNAs have two regions of fundamental functional importance: the anti-codon, which is responsible for specific mRNA codon recognition, and the 3' end, to which the tRNAs corresponding amino acid is attached (by aminoacyl-tRNA synthetases). tRNAs cope with the degeneracy of the genetic code in two manners: having more than one tRNA (with a specific anti-codon) for a particular amino acid; and 'wobble' base-pairing, i.e. permitting non-standard base-pairing at the 3rd anti-codon position. RNAcentral also lists the same sequence under 1 other name. Lineage: Bacteria; Pseudomonadati; Planctomycetota. The record is from RNAcentral.